Long non-coding RNA from Olea europaea var. sylvestris, 195 nucleotides. RefSeq lists it as uncharacterized. The record is from RefSeq and is a predicted model, not a curated record. The transcript has 3 exons. NCBI's taxonomy places the organism in Eukaryota, Viridiplantae, Streptophyta, Magnoliopsida, Lamiales, Oleaceae.
UAUUGAUUUAGCUCAGGUAGUUCCUGCCUGGUUGAGCUGCUUACCUAUAAAAGGUGAUCUUAUUGAAGCAAAAGUUGUUCAUGAGCAGCUGUGCACAAUGGUCGAGAGGUAGACAAUGGAGAUGGCUCUAAUUUGGCAUUGUUGGAAACCAAACUUGUUGCUAAAGACCUUCAUUUCUGUAUAUUGAUCUGUUUU